Long non-coding RNA from Sarcophilus harrisii (Tasmanian devil), 1042 nucleotides. RefSeq lists it as uncharacterized. The record is from RefSeq and is a predicted model, not a curated record. Lineage: Eukaryota; Metazoa; Chordata; Mammalia; Dasyuromorphia; Dasyuridae. The transcript has 3 exons.
AGUUUGGUUCCUUGAAUUUAAUCUCAUCAUUUGGUUCCUUGACCACCCUAAAUUUAGACCUCAUCACUCUACAUUUCAAGGAACAAUUACUGUGGUGGGGCUAGAGUCUUUUGAAGAGAACCUUGACACAUCCAAUCUCCUUUUAGGAUACUGGAGAACCCUGGGGAAGAAGUGAAAAUCUAAUCAACCUAACCUUGUAAGCAGUGAGAGCCAUGGAUGAAGUUGUUAUUAAAGAAAGUCCAGAUGUUAUUAGUUUUUUUACCUUGAAAAGAAGAGAAAGAAUUCCAAAGGAAGAAGUUGAUACCUUCAGGCCCUGAUGAAACAUAAGAGGUAAUUCAUGCCCAUGGAUUUGGUCUUAGUUUCAGAGUGUAAUGGAGUUAUGUCUUUAUCAACUAAAAUAGAGAUAGCUAUGUUGGAGAUACCUAAAAUCUGCUUUUAAAAGACAUUCUCUCUUUCUCUAUUAGGGUCUUGUCUCUUUCUAUUGACUGUAAUUGGUAAUGGGCUGCAUCUUUAUAAGUAAGAGAGUGGGACAGUCUUAUUGUAUUUCCAGUUCUGACUAGGGAUAAAAGCACUGUUCAUGGAUAUCAUAUACUAAACUAGAUGUGGAGAAAAGGUUCAUCUUCAUCAUCAUUAAAUUAUUUCCAGGCUCCCUGACAUCAAGAAAUGGACUUUGGAGUCUUGGUGUUUUAUAAUUUUUAGUUCUAGGUAUAAUCCAUGGAGUUACUGGACCCUGAACUCAACCCAUAAUUACCUUGGAACUAGGCCUAAUUCUGGACUUGAAAUUGUUACUCACUCAUCAAGGAAUCCCUGAGAAGCCAGGAAACUGGGAUUCAAAUCCAUUGGGGCUUUGGACUUGACAUCUGGUAGGAUCAUCCUGUGCAGAAACAAAACCAUGAAGCCAAUCCCUUUCUCAUCCUCAAACUAAUGGAGUGAGGGGAAAUUAUGCCUGCAAUUGCUGAGGGGAUAUUUGUAUGUUUUUUCUUGCUAUAUUUUUGAAAUAAAUACUCUGUCAUAAAAGUUAAUCUGACUAAUAAAUGGUUAA